RNAcentral lists this ribosomal RNA (429 nucleotides) under Bacteroidota bacterium. RNAcentral's name for it is "Bacteroidetes bacterium partial 16S ribosomal RNA". It matches the Rfam family "Bacterial small subunit ribosomal RNA", at positions 355 to 776 of the family's 1533-position model. The record is from RNAcentral. Lineage: Bacteria; Pseudomonadati; Bacteroidota.
UAGGGAAUCUUCCGCAAUGGACGCAAGUCUGACGGAGCAACGCCGCGUGAGUGAUGAAGGUCUUCGGAUCGUAAAACUCUGUUAUUAGGGAAGAACAAAUGUGUAAGUAACUAUGCACAUCUUGACGGUACCUAAUCAGAAAGCCACGGCUAACUACGUGCCAGCAGCCGCGGUAAUACGUAGGUGGCAAGCGUUAUCCGGAAUUAUUGGGCGUAAAGCGCGCGUAGGCGGUUUUUUAAGUCUGAUGUGAAAGCCCACGGCUCAACCGUGGAGGGUCAUUGGAAACUGGAAAACUUGAGUGCAGAAGAGGAAAGUGGAAUUCCAUGUGUAGCGGUGAAAUGCGCAGAGAUAUGGAGGAACACCAGUGGCGAAGGCGACUUUCUGGUCUGUAACUGACGCUGAUGUGCGAAAGCGUGGGGAUCAAACAGG